UACGAAGGUGGCAAGCGUUGUUCGGAAUCACUGGGCUUAAAGCGCACGUAGGCGGUCCUUCAAGCGUCUUGUGAAAUCCCUCGGCUCAACCGAGGAAUUGCUGGGCGAACUGUAGGACUUGAGGCAGGUAGGGGUGCAUGGAACUCUUGGUGGAGCGGUGAAAUGCGUAGAUAUCAAGAGGAACGCCGGUGGCGAAAGCGAUGCACUGGGCCUGCCCUGACGCUGAGGUGCGAAAGCUAGGGUAGCGAACGGGAUUAGAUACCCCGGUAGUCCUAGCCGUAAACGAUGCCUACUAGGUCGAAGGCACUCUGACGUGUUUUCGGCCGAAACUAAAGCGUUAAGUAGGCCGCCUGGGGAGUACGGUCGCAAGGCUAAA
This 376-nucleotide ribosomal RNA is filed under the name uncultured bacterium. Its description in RNAcentral is "bacterial SSU rRNA". It matches the Rfam family "Bacterial small subunit ribosomal RNA", at positions 524 to 898 of the family's 1533-position model. The record is from RNAcentral.